Molecule: long non-coding RNA, 381 nt
Filed under: Nicotiana benthamiana
Lineage: Eukaryota; Viridiplantae; Streptophyta; Magnoliopsida; Solanales; Solanaceae
Description: long non-coding RNA (NBEN_LNC010293)
Source: RNAcentral
AAAUAUUGAGCACUUUAGAACAUCUAGAAAUGGUUUUCAAAAAGUGCAUGGAAACUACAUUCCUCAAAAUAGAGUAAAUGAAUUUAGACCACCUAGAAGCUAUUAUCAUCCUAUGAGAAUGCAUAAUCCAAAUGUCAUUUGUCAUUAUUGUAAUAAGAUAGGACAUAUAGCUCCGGUCUGCUUCACUAGACAUAGAAAUCUCACGAUUAAACAAUCACACUACCACUUUGCACCUAACACCCAAGGACCCAAAAUGGCUUGGGUACCAAAAUCUCAUUGAUUUUGUAUGUAGGUAUGCUUGAAGGCAUCAAGUGUACUUUGGUACCUUGAUAGCGGAUGCUCCAAGCACAUGACCGGAGAUGCAUCCAAAUUUUUACAAAU